CGCCUGUUUAUCAAAAACAUGUCCUUCUGAUUAUGAUUUUAGGUCUGGCCUGCUCAAUGAUUUUUAUUUAAUAGCUGCGGUAUUUUAACUGUACUAAGGUAGCAUAAUAAUUUGUCUUUUAAUUGGGGGCUUGUAUGAAUGGUCGGACAAGGCUCUUACUUUCUUUAUUUUAUUUGUAUGAAUUUUAUUUUUUAGUUAAAAAGCUAAAAUGUUUUUGGGGGACGAGAAGACCCUAUAGAUUUUUAUAUUUACUGAUAUUAGGGGUUAUUUAGCUUAAAUAAUUAUUCUUAUUGUCAUAAAUGUUUGAUUGGGGCGAUUUUGAAAUUUUCUUAACUUUUAAGUUGGCUGUCAUUUCUUUAUGUUUGUUGUGAUCCAUUUUUAAUGAUUAAAAGAUUAAAUUACCUUAGGGAUAACAGCGUUAUUCCCCCGGAUAGUUCUUAUUGAUGGGGGAGUUUACGACCUCGAUGUUGGAUUAGAAUAAGGCCUUAUGAUGCAGAAGUCAGGUCCUAGGUCUGUUCGACCUUUUAAUUUUUACAUGAUCUGAGUUCAAACCGGAG
RNAcentral lists this ribosomal RNA (557 nucleotides) under Stenolemus sp. CW-2009. RNAcentral's name for it is "partial 16S ribosomal RNA". It matches the Rfam family "Bacterial large subunit ribosomal RNA", at positions 1797 to 2621 of the family's 2925-position model. The record is from RNAcentral. Lineage: Eukaryota; Metazoa; Arthropoda; Insecta; Hemiptera; Reduviidae.